GCAGGGGUAGGCUGGGGUGGUGAACUGACACGCGCAAAGGUGCUGGUGGGCAGAGGGAAGGUGUCAAGGGGGUGGUGUGCCCCCUGCCAUCUGCAAUCGUGUACUUAAAGGGAGGAGGACUGGGGGACCACCUCCCCGCAGGCUCCAGUCCUGUUUUCUGUCUGCAGCGUGAGAGAACUUGGUUGCCUGGGUAUCCGGAAGGCUGGGUGAGGGUCACAUGAGGGGCUCUCCGCAGCAGGGGGUCUGUUCAUAACUCUGGGCUCCAGCUGUGGAAUUCUGAGUGUCACACCUCACCUGGCUGAGUCUCCACUGCCUCCUAGGCGCAUUCCAACAAUUUGGGCUCUCACUGCUUGAGCAAACCCUGGUGUGCAUUUGGCCUCAGGGCCUGGAAGACGACAGUUCAAGAAACCACAGGACUCCAGCAAUGAGCUGCUCCCCUUGCUGUGUGUGUGUGUGUGUGUGUGUGUGUGUGUGUGUGUAGGGUGAGGGAUGGCAAGUAGGAAAGGAAUUCCAGGAAGAAUAAAGUGCAUGUGCAAAGGCCCUGGGGCAGGAGGAGCCUUGGCUGCUGGAGGAAGCAUAAGAAAGCUGAGGUGUCGGCUGGGCACAGUGGCUCAUGCCUGUAAUCCCAGCAGUUUGGGG
This 639-nucleotide long non-coding RNA is filed under the name Homo sapiens (human). RNAcentral's name for it is "HSALNT0068755". Lineage: Eukaryota; Metazoa; Chordata; Mammalia; Primates; Hominidae. The record is from RNAcentral.